CAGCAGCCACGGGAAUACGUAGGGUGCAAGCGUUAAUCGGAAUUACUGGGCGUAAAGCGUGCGCAGGCGGUUAUAUAAGACAGAUGUGAAAUCCCCGGGCUCAACCUGGGAACUGCAUUUGUGACUGUAUAGCUAGAGUACGGCAGAGGGGGAUGGAAUUCCGCGUGUAGCAGUGAAAUGCGUAGAUAUGCGGAGGAACACCGAUGGCGAAGGCAAUCCCCUGGGCCUGUACUGACGCUCAUGCACGAAAGCGUGGGGAGCAAACAGGAUUAGAUACCCCUGUAGUCCCUGUAUCUUAUAC
Molecule: ribosomal RNA, 301 nt
Filed under: uncultured bacterium
Lineage: Bacteria
Description: partial 16S ribosomal RNA
Rfam family: Bacterial small subunit ribosomal RNA
Source: RNAcentral